This is a long non-coding RNA of Ornithodoros turicata, 735 nucleotides long. RefSeq lists it as uncharacterized. The transcript is spliced from 3 exons. The record is from RefSeq and is a predicted model, not a curated record. NCBI's taxonomy places the organism in Eukaryota, Metazoa, Arthropoda, Arachnida, Ixodida, Argasidae.
ACGGUACAAGGGCUCCGAGACCCAUCCGUACCGGCUAGGUACCUUUUAAGCGCGAUCUAUAGCAGCUGUACCUCAUGUGUACCGCGUGUUUCCGGCGCAUGAGUACGAACGCCUUCUCACGAUAUCCAUGCGCUGCAAAAAUAUUUCGUGUGAUUCCGAAUACCAGUCUAUAAAUUCCCUUAUGCAGCAGUGCCGUAAUGGAUGAGCACUAUCAUUCUGUCAAAGAAGUGCAAUAACUAGAACCCAUGACCGUGAGGGAUCGCAUGUUUGGGAAGAAUUCGUUUCUUGCAACCGCUGCAAAUCAGUUUGUUUUGAAACGUCGGGGAGCGAGGACGAGUCUGCUCGGUCUUCGAAGAAAUUCGUUCGACGCGUUCAAGAUUGAAGUCAUUUAAGUGGUCCUGAUCACCGGCAGGCUGGACACAACGACUGAGGGACGGAGACAACGAACUUUGUGCUUCAUGCACGAACGUUGAUGCGUGAAUUAGAGGAGCCGAGAGUGCAUUUUACACCUGGAUUACACAAGCAAGUUACGUCAAGCGAUGUCGUAAAUGGGUGAGUCAAUCGUCUACUGUGGUUGGUGUUACGUUCUGCGGAAGAAACGGAAGUUGGGGAAGAACAGCUAUCCAAAGGUGUGGAAGAGAUAAAGAAGCGUGACCACAGAGCAGCUGCAGUGGUGAAGGAGAGACGCAGUGGUCAUCGUUCAUCCAUAUACGUUGUGCCCCGUGUGUUCGGCGU